RNAcentral lists this ribosomal RNA (503 nucleotides) under uncultured bacterium. RNAcentral describes it as "bacterial SSU rRNA". It matches the Rfam family "Bacterial small subunit ribosomal RNA", at positions 29 to 508 of the family's 1533-position model. The record is from RNAcentral.
AACAAACGCUGGCGGCGUGCCUAACACAUGCAAGUCGUACGAGAAAGUCGGCUUCGGCCGAUGAGUACAGUGGCGCACGGGUGAGUAGCGCGUGGGUAAUCUGCCCCCCGGUCAGGAAUAACCCGCCGAAAGGCGGGCUAAUACCCGAUAACACUGACGCUCCGCGGAGCGUCUUUCAAAGAAGGCCUCUGUUUACAAGCUUUCGCCGGAGGAUGAGCCCGCGUACCAUUAGCUAGUUGGCAGGGUAAUGGCCUACCAAGGCUACGAUGGUUAGCUGGUCUGAGAGGAUGGCCAGCCACACUGGAACUGAGACACGGUCCAGACUCCUACGGGAGGCAGCAGUGAGGAAUCUUGCGCAAUGGGGGAAACCCUGACGCAGCAACGCCGCGUGAGUGAGGAAGGCCUUGGGUCGUAAAGCUCUGUCAGAUGGGAAGAAAUGGAUGGGGGCUAAUAUCGCCCAUCCUUGACGGUACCAUCAGAGGAAGCACCGGCUAACUCCGUCG